AUGUUUCUAUCAUAUAUAUGUCAUAUAAUGCUUCUUUCUUUGACAGUUCAAAAUUUAAUAAAAAUUUCGUUAAAAGCCAAAAAUUUAAAUAAAGAUGAAUAGAAGCGACGUUGGUGAUAAAACCACGCGAAAAUGCACACCACGGCCAUUGAACAAGAGAGCACAUUCCUUCAGCCCAAGUAGUCUUAGAACCCCGAGUCCUAAUUCGAUUGAUAAAAGCGGAAAAGAGAGAAGAUGCCGAAGUCUUAAUCCUCAACAAAUCCAAAAGCCGAUGGAGCCGACAAAAGAUAAAAAUACAAUAUACGGCAAGGAAUUUAUGUCAGCGCCAGAAAAACUAGAUUCGAUGAUAGAGAGUUUUCAAAAUAGCAUGAACCACGAAACAG
Long non-coding RNA from Pieris rapae (cabbage white), 383 nucleotides. RefSeq lists it as uncharacterized. The record is from RefSeq and is a predicted model, not a curated record. Lineage: Eukaryota; Metazoa; Arthropoda; Insecta; Lepidoptera; Pieridae. The transcript is spliced from 4 exons.